AUGAUCUCCAGCUUGCUGGGGGGAUUAGUGGCGAACGGGUGAGUAACACGUGAGUAACCUGCCCUUGACUCUGGGAUAAGCCUGGGAAACUGGGUCUAAUACUGGAUACGACUCUUCACCGCAUGGUGGGGGGUGGAAAGCUUUUGUGGUUUUGGAUGGACUCGCGGCCUAUCAGCUUGUUGGUGGGGUAAUGGCCUACCAAGGCGACGACGGGUAGCCGGCCUGAGAGGGUGGACGGCCACACUGGGACUGAGACACGGCCCAGACUCCUACGGGAGGCAGCAGUGGGGAAUAUUGCACAAUGGGCGCAAGCCUGAUGCAGCGACGCCGCGUGAGGGAUGAAGGCCUUCGGGUUGUAAACCUCUUUCAGUAGGGAAGAAGCGAAAGUGACGGUACCUGCAGAAGAAGCGCCGGCUAACUACGUGCCAGCAGCCGCGGUAAUACGUAGGGCGCAAGCGUUAUCCGGAAUUAUUGGGCGUAAAGAGCUCGUAGGCGGUUUGUCGCGUCUGCCGUGAAAGUCCGGGGCUUAACUCCGGAUCUGCGGUGGGUACGGGCAGACUUGAGUGAUGUAGGGGAGACUGGAAUUCCUGGUGUAGCGGUGAAAUGCGCAGAUAUCAGGAGGAACACCGAUGGCGAAGGCAGGUCUCUGGGCAUUAACUGACGCUGAGGAGCGAAAGCAUGGGGAGCGAACAGGAUUAGAUACCCUGGUAGUCCAUGCCGUAAACGUUGGGCACUAGGUGUGGGGGACAUUCCACGUUUUCCGCGCCGUAGCUAACGCAUUAAGUGCCCCGCCUGGGGAGUACGGCCGCAAGGCUAAAACUCAAAGGAAUUGACGGGGGCCCGCACAAGCGGCGGAGCAUGCGGAUUAAUUCGAUGCAACGCGAAGAACCUUACCAAGGCUUGACAUGAACCGGAACGGCGCAGAAGAUGU
This 931-nucleotide ribosomal RNA is filed under the name Arthrobacter sp. EGI 80075. Its description in RNAcentral is "bacterial SSU rRNA". It matches the Rfam family "Bacterial small subunit ribosomal RNA", at positions 69 to 1009 of the family's 1533-position model. Lineage: Bacteria; Bacillati; Actinomycetota; Actinomycetes; Micrococcales; Micrococcaceae. The record is from RNAcentral.